AACGGCCAUACCAUGCUGAAUAUACCGAUUAUCGUUUGAUCACCGAAGUCAAGCAUCAUUGGGCGCGGUCAGUAUUUGGGUGGGUAACCACCUGGGAACACCGCGUGCCGUU
Molecule: ribosomal RNA, 112 nt
Filed under: Caerostris extrusa
Lineage: Eukaryota; Metazoa; Arthropoda; Arachnida; Araneae; Araneidae
Source: RNAcentral